Marmota monax (woodchuck) is the source of this 5630-nucleotide long non-coding RNA. RefSeq lists it as uncharacterized. The record is from RefSeq and is a predicted model, not a curated record. The transcript has 4 exons. NCBI's taxonomy places the organism in Eukaryota, Metazoa, Chordata, Mammalia, Rodentia, Sciuridae.
UCUCCUAAGCCCAUUGGCUCCAUGAGGGCAAGCAGUUUGGUCUCUUUUGUUCACUGCUAUGUUCUCCAUGCUUUGAACAGAAGCUUGAUCAUAGUGUGCUCUUAUGCAAUCAAUAGUAACUGAAUAUUAAAUGACAAAAUUCAUAUACAUUGAUUUUUCAUGUUAGAAAUCAUAUGAGCAUACAUUCUGUACUGGAUUUUCCCUGCUUGGAAUUUUCAGUGUGCACAUUUCCAAGGAUCCAUACCCUCCAUACAAUUACCACAUGAAAAGAUUCUCCAGAAGUCCUCCAUGCUGCUGUUUCAUUUCCCAACAGGGUUACUCUAAAUUUUUAAUGUUAAUGAAUAUUUCUAUUCUAAAUAUCAUUGGGUGCACUGAUUUUUCUUCCCUCAGGGUCAUUACUGUGGGAUAUUUGCUAAAAAAAUUCACUACUUCUAAAGAGCCUCUGAGCACUUUUAUGGCUCUUAUUAUUUAGUGCUAGAGCAUCACACAGAAACUUCAGUUUCACUUGGGAUGUAACUCCUGAUAUGCUGAGCUGUGAGGGUUGUUAUGAAAGCAAAUGAACUUUUACAUAAUCUUAUUCCCUCAGCUUCGGCUUCUGAAAAAAUUUCAUAACACAGUAUAGCACAAGUCUCCUUCAAAGUAUUUUCCCCAGGAUUUUGUACAGUUGGAAAAUGUUUCCGUUCCUAAACAGAAUCUGACUAAAAGUUUUUCCACUGAAAUGAGUCUCCAAAUGACCCAGGGAGUUAGCAAACUGUGGUCUUGGGCUGCCUGGUUUUGUAAAUAAAGUUUUAUUUGAAGCUAGCCACACUAAUUUGUUUGCUUAUUGUCUAUAUGGAUGCUUUCCUGCUAUAAUUGCAGAGUUGAGUGGUUGAGAUAACCACUGUGUGGUCCACAAAACCUAAAAUAUUUAUAAUCUUGCCCAGUGCAGGAAAAGCCUGCCAAUCAAUGUUCCACUGUAUAACACAGGGUAACUAGACACCACAGAAGUCUUCCAUAUUUUCCUACCACAAGUAGGAUCUUUUUUAUUGAGUAUACAUAGCACUUGGAAAGAUUUUGGAUUAUAAGAGAUGAUUAGAAUUCAGUAAACUCAAGUAUUAAAAUAAAAUUAGGUACAUUAAUGGUGUAAGAGUGAGGGAUUAGAAAAUUCAGAAGUCAUGUAAACAUCAAUAGCAAUGGUAGAUACAUUACAAAAAUGUCUUGUAAUUUUAUGUGUGUUAUCAGACUUGAAGAUGAUUGUUUUAUAUACCUGAUGGAAUAGCAGGUCGAAUAUAACACUGGGAAUCUAAUGUUCCCAUAACUUUCUAAUUUGACUUGCUGGCAAUUGGAGGUAUGAAGAGCUGAAGAGUUACUGUCAAAUUGAUCACCUGUGUCUGCUGACUAAUUUUAAUUAUGCCUGAUAACAGAAGGCCCACACUAAUGGUCAUUCAUUCACAUGGGGUCACUGUGUAAGCACACUUGAGGAGCCUCAUUCAUACGUAGAAAGAGGGUAAGAGUUGAUACUACCUACUGUGAAUCUUGAUGGGUAAUAACAAGAAGAGUGUCAAAAGCUCAUUAGGCAAGGGAAACAACAUGCACAACAUAUCAUUAUUUCUAUAGUUUGUGAAGAAAACUCAGAGAGUUGAGGAUCUAAGAGUAUGACAUGUGAAGUGGGGAAUAGUGAGCAAUGAGCACCAAGAAGCAUCCUGAGAAACUUAAACUUCAUUCUAUAGGACAUGGGCAGCUAGGGAAGGUUUUAGGCAAUAUAAAAAUAGGAUGAUGGUAAACCCAUUUGGUAGUGUGUGGAAGCUGGAUUUCAACAUAAAACAAGAUGUUGGCAGUAGAGUGAGUGAGAAUAUUUCAACAUUUGGACAGAGGUGUAGGAGUAAGGCUGAUGUUCCAUGGAAAGAUGAUAGGAUGUCCCACAUAUAUGGAAGGAUCUAAAGUCUGGAAGAAACCUAAAGUAAGUAUAGCAUAAGAAUUUAUAGUUAGGAGAUUUAAAAUAUUAUCAAGGCAGUUUCUUGUCAUUAAAAAGGGGACACUGAUUUAAUAUAUGCUAGUAGGGUAUGUCAGUAUUAAUUUCAGCAGAAAUUUCAGAGCCACUUAAAUGGACCCCUCUCCCAUAAAAGAAAAAAAAAAUCUGUGCAUCUUUCUCCCUCAACCCUUAAAAAGUUCCCCACCCAGCAUAGAUCAGCUGCUUAGUACAGGCUGCUCAGAUGCUCUAACAAAGGUUUAAAAUGGUAUAAACUUGAGAUUUGUAGAAGUCACAGAAUUAGACAUGAGGAAAUGGACAUGAGGUUCAAACAUACUUUACACGUGACACAUAAAAAAACUGAUUUCCUAAGAAAAGAUCCCUUUUCUCUGAAACACAAAAUAUCCUAUCACAACAUUUAAGGAUUUUCAAAAAAUCAUCACCCACUCUAUCAUGGACAUGGUGUUUUUACCUGAGGAAUGCCAAACUUCAUAUAUACUGAAUUUCUAAAUAAUGCACAGACUCAUAAGCUUCUCUUAGGAUAGAAGUUGGCACUCUGACACUGGCUGUAAAGGAGAGGAUUCUGAUGGAUGCUCAGAAUUCUUCAUCAGAGCCUCUUGCAGAGAGCUAGUCUAGGAAAGACUUGCCACUGGGUGGCAGGUGUACGGAGGGAUGGAGGAAAUCCCAGAGACUCUGUUCUUUUAAGCUCCUGUUUGGUUUUAAUGAGUAAUAGUGGACCCAGAACAAACCAUAAAAUGCUCAGGUGUACUUUGUACUGUGGCUUGAAAUGCAGCUGCUCAACAGAUGGGAACCACCACAAUCUGAUGUUUGCCAUGAAUAAUACAUUCAGUGAGAAAUGAGUUCUCCAAUCUCAUUCAGGCUAUUUAGCUGUCUAGAAGAAAAAAAUUUUAUUUGAUUAUAUAAACCUGUAAAAAACCUGAGCAUGGGACAUGAUGAUAAAUGGAAGUGAAUCAUGCCUCACAUCUAUAGAUAGACAGAUGUCAAAUAUCAGUUGUAGUAAGAGUUUUUCUUCUUGUUUUUAUAAUGAUUAGCAACAUAAUUAAAUGGCAAUUCUAUUUCUUCCAUUGAAAUUAAAAACCACUGUUCCACUCUUGCUUCUUAAAAAUUUAGACCUACUAUGGGCAAAACAUAAAUAUCACAUGUGGUAGAUAACCCAACACAAAUUUCAAAGGCUGCUAAAUGAUGUAAAUAAACUUCAGGAGAAAAUAUGACUACCCAGAGCCACCAAAGGCAUAUUUCGCCUUUUGCUACACGUGGCUGACCUUCCUGAGUUUGUUUCUUGUGCUUCUUGGAGACUUGCUGAAAAAUGUUCAUGGUUUAAGAUGAGCUACAUAGUGACAGCAGCAUUCUGCUGUGUGUGUUGCCAUGCUUAGAGCAGAAACCCAAAACUUUCUCCUAGAGCGUCAACAACAACAACAACAACAACAACAACAAAAAAAAAAACUAAGCCAAAAUAAAACACUUACUUAUUCUUUUGUACAUUUAGUUUUUCUAUCCCCAGCCUUGGAUUUUGUUCAUGAUGUUAAAUUUUUAGCAAUGAGAUGAUUCAACAAUUUCAUGUUAGCUACCAAAAGGUGAGUUUAAAAUUUUCUGUUUUUAUAAAUAACUAAUAACUAUACAAGUAAAGUUAACAAGGUGAGUAUUUGCUGGGAUUAAAUUUGUGAUUUUUGUGUGUUGUAAUUCUGUAUACUUUCCAAACUAUUUAGUAAGUAUGUCACACUUUCUUUGUAUUUUUUCAUAAUUUAACAACCAAAAAAACCAGUACAAACUUUUGCCUUUUUAAAUGUUUUUAAGGUGGAAUCAGGACAACAGAAAAGAAUAAAUAAAGCCUUGUCAUUAAGCCAUUUGCCAAGACAAGCCCUCAUUCCACAUUACAGAUGUCUGCAAGCAGAGGCAGAAUUCACUCUUUAUCCUUCAUUACUGUCCACUCAAAUCUUGGAAAUAAAAUUGCAAACUUUGGCAGCCCCUCUUCUAUAAGUGGCGGUGGCACGGAUCUUCUUGCCCUUGGCUUCAUCCAGGCUCCACUGAUCAGGAAGAAUGUUUUCCAUCUGGGCAGAGACCUUCCUCAGCCAGCCAAGUGGGUUAUUCACAUUUCCAUUGCAAAUGAAGGGAUUGGAUUCCAAAGGCUGAAAACUGAGAAGUUGGGGUGGGGAGGGCUAUCUUGACCAAAGUAAAACUGCAAAUCCUAAAUUAUCAGGGAGCUUCACAUUUUGUUGAACUUUCCUGACUUCAAAGCCCAGGAGAGGGGCAUCUGUGUCAAAGGGGCUGCCUCUUUGAAAAGGAAGUUUCCUAGCAACUCUGCUGGAGUAUCAUUAAUUAUGAUGGUGGUUGGGAUGGCAGAACCUUCUAUUUAUUUACUCUGCCCUUCUAUGCAUUUCUAGCCUUAGACCUUAACUCCUUCAGUGCUGAUGACUGUCAAGAAAAAGAAUCUGGGGAUUUCUUGCAGUCUAUUUGUGAUCUAAUCAACAAGGACAUUCAUUUUUUCAAGAUUGCCCCUGUAGAAAAUGGCGUUUGGGCUAACUGAUGGACAGAAGUCUUGUCUUCACUCAGGACUAAGCUUGGCAUGUUUGAAGGAAAGAAAGAAGUAAAAAGUGGUUCAAAUGAAGUUAUAAAGGCCCUCUGGGCCUUAGAGCCUACACAAGGAGUUUGCAUCUUACUCCAAGUGCAGCAGAAAACCUCUGAAGUUUAAGAAGGUCAGAGUAUUUGCCAUUUGAAGCAGCAGAGCAGUGUUGACUCCAGGCAAUGAAACAGCAAGUGGAAUUGUCGUCACUUAAGCAUGAAGCUAACCAAUGCCAACACCCUUCAGCCAGGAACUUUCUACCCUUAGAGAAUGCUCAUCCAGGAAUAAGACACAAAUAUUAUGCUGCCUACAAUACCAUUAAUAUCAGGACCUCUUAACUUAAUAAUCAUAUAUAAUGCUCAUGAAACUUGCUGAAAGAAAUUUUCAAUUACAUAGAUUUGAUUAGACUAUUAAUUUCUGUUGUUUUCCUGUAUUUUUGUGCAGAAAAAUGAAAAUACCUUAAUAAAUUGAUCAUUUCUACCUUGUUUACUACAAAACAGUACACAUAGAGAGUUGCAAAACUACUUAAAAUAAAUGAGUGUGUGUGUGUGUGUUGGAGCAGGGUAAUGUUUGCAAGAUUUGUGGUAGGUUGGGUAUGAGAAUUGGCUAGUGGCAUUGUUAUAAUUUCUGGUUAAAGUUUUGCAGAGAUUUCUUCUGGUUCCAGGAAUGUUGUUGAUGUCAGGAGGUCAGAAGUUCUGAGAACUUUAAUCCUUUUUUCCUCUGAGAAGUUCUCAGACUUCAGAAUGUAUCAGCAUCACCUGACCUUGAUUUGGGAAUGGAGCCCAUGAUCUGUAUCAUUAGCAAGCAUCUGAUGUGGAAGUGGUGCCAUGGACCACACUGCAGAAACACUGUCCUCAAGUCUGGUGUUUGUGGAAUUAUGCUACGAUAUUUUUACUUCACAUUUGGAGCUCUAAUUAACACAUGGAUCUGAGAGCCUGAAAGAGGCUCUGGAUUACAGAAUACAAACUACAAGUCCUUCAUUAUGCCAGAAUAUGACACUAAAUAAAGGUCACUGAUCUCAGAUUGUUCUUUGGAAAUAUCCUCCAAAUAAUGUCCACUGGGACAUAUUUUACUGCAGAGAAUGAAAUGGGAAUGCACAUA